AUUACAUCUGGGUAGGUCUCAGACAGUGUAAUCUGGUCACGCUACAUUACAUCUGGGUGGGUCUAAGACCUGGUAAUCUGGUCAUACUCCAUUACAUCUGGGUGGGUCUCACACACUGUAAUCUGGUCUCGCUCCAUUACAUCUGGGUAGGUCUCAGACAGUGUAAUCUGGUCACGCUCCAUUACAUCUGGGUGGGUCUAAGAACCUGGUAAUCUGGUCACACUCCAUUACAUCUGGGUGGGUCUCACACACUGUAAUCUGGUCUCGCUCCAUUACAUCUGGGUGGGUCUCAGACAGUGUAAUCUGGUCACGCUCCAUUACAUCUGGGUGGGUCUAAGACCUGGUAAUCUGGUCACACUCCAUUACAUCUGGGUGGGUCUCACACACUGUAAUCUGGUCUCGCUCCAUUACAUCUGGGUGGGUCUCAGACAGUGCAAUCUGGUCAUGCUCCGUUAGAUCUGGGUGGGUCUCACACACUGUAAUCUGGUCUUGCUCCAUUACAUCUGGG
RNAcentral lists this long non-coding RNA (508 nucleotides) under Salmo salar (Atlantic salmon). RNAcentral describes it as "lncRNA (ENSSSAG00000096643.1)". The record is from RNAcentral. Lineage: Eukaryota; Metazoa; Chordata; Actinopteri; Salmoniformes; Salmonidae.